GCGACCCCAGGUCAGGCGGGACUACCC
This 27-nucleotide non-coding RNA is filed under the name Nigella damascena (love-in-a-mist). The record is from RNAcentral. RNAcentral also lists the same sequence under 17 other names. Lineage: Eukaryota; Viridiplantae; Streptophyta; Magnoliopsida; Ranunculales; Ranunculaceae.